Molecule: non-coding RNA, 103 nt
Organism: Xylaria bambusicola
Lineage: Eukaryota; Fungi; Ascomycota; Sordariomycetes; Xylariales; Xylariaceae
Source: the annotation of a RefSeq genome assembly
GCCCGCUUGGCUAAGUGGUAUAGCGUGUCACUAGUACUCUCUCUAAUCAAGAAGUCUAUCUAUUGCCAUGACAAGAUCAGCGGUUCGAUUCCGCUAGUGGGCA